Molecule: ribosomal RNA, 903 nt
Filed under: Triticum aestivum (bread wheat)
Lineage: Eukaryota; Viridiplantae; Streptophyta; Magnoliopsida; Poales; Poaceae
Description: partial small subunit ribosomal RNA
Source: RNAcentral
CACACUCCGUCGCCGCACGUAGCCGCGGCCUCCGCGCGAGGCGGAGAGGCGAGCGGGACGAGCGGCGCCGGCUACUGGCGUGGUGGGCUCUGGCGCCGGUGUGCUUUUUUGCCGCCGCUACUCCUCCGGGCCGGGAACCGCGGCUGGGCGCGAGGGCUCGCCGCCGCCGCAGCCUAGGCCGGCGGGGCGCCCCGGUCGGGAGGGCAGGCGCGGCGCGGCGCAGCGGCGGCCGUACCUCCGGGCACGAGCCCGUCGGCGGCGCCGCAGCAGCCGCAGCCACGCCGCCGCCCCAGAAACCCCUGGCGCACCGCCCCCUGGCCGCGCCGAAGGCCAGCUCCCAAGGCCGCUGCGGUUCGGCAUCUAGACUCGGCGGCAGACGUGGAGCGAAGGAGGGUACAAAGCUAGACCUAAGAUAUUUGCUCUCUCUUCUCCAAAGUUCGUAACGAACCACGUACAUGUAACUUCUUAAGUACCUAACACCCCCAUAGUCAAUCUCGACCUAAAUUUAAGGAAGUGCUCGGGGGGCGUAUUUCUCUAAUAUGUUUGCUCUCUCUUUUCUCCGAGGUCUUCAAGAAUAUUGGGUCGAGUUCACCAAAGUUCGUAACGAACCACGUUGAUAUACAUUCUUAAGUGUCUAGCACCUCAUAGUAAAUCUCGACCUAAAAUUAAGGAAUUACUCGGGGUCGUAUUUCUCACUAUUUUUCACUCAAAACAAAGAAGAGAAAACUAGUUUAAGGGGUACGUCCGUUCAUAUAACGACUACGUAUUAAACAACGAAGUCCCUAGAGUUUUUAUACUAAACAUACCUCGACAUGUUGUAAUCCCACUUAGAAAUAACCCACCAGUGGAUGCAAACGAUAUAGGUAAACAAUGUUUUACUAAUUAAAGAUUAUUAUUACUACG